CGAGCCGAGUCACCGCCCUGCGCCGCCAGCCCAGGCCCCGCAGCCUACGUCGGGCGCAGACGCUCCCCCUGGCGGGGCGGGCGGGGGCUGCCAGGAGAAUCACCAGUACCCGCCUCCUCGCCCCGCAUCCUCGGGCCUGAGCGCCCGCCCACCGGCACGCGGAGGGGCUUCCUGGAACGAUUAGGCGGACCGUCGCCCCCAGGCUCCUUUCUCCCCUGGCGGAGUUUCUGCCCGCUGCGAUCUUCCCUAACUACCACUCUGCGGUCGCAGAAGACCAUCCAGAGGGGAGAUGAGGACUGGGAAGCCCGCUUGAGUGAUGCACAUCUGUGGCUUGUUACGAGAGCCGCGUGAAUUAAAGCAAGGCAGGGGACACCGCCCUGCCACUGCUUUCUAACCUUGAUUUUCAUCUUUCCUUCUCGGAUGGAAUCUAGAAGCCGCAGGAGUUUUCACUUGCGUCUGUGAUGGAGUUUCCCGCUCCCCGCCCCCCCGCACCAACCCGAGCUCUUUUUUCGCUUGGAGCCCGUAAGUUGCUAGAGGGCACCACGAUGGCUCUAGGAGCGCUGUCGGUGUUUUCUUCUGGAGGUGAUCCUGAAAUUUCCUCCCCAAAGCAAGCUCUGUUGCGAGGAGCAGGCUGGGGAUAUGUGCAAGUGAAUGUGUAUUCCAAGAGGGGGAUGAUACGCAGAUCUUUUGGUGUAUAGGAAUUAAUACUUUUAGAUUAUCAGUAAAAUGUAUACUUUCACUGGACUGAGAGAGAACAAGGCUUACGGUUACAUCAACCGGAUCAACAAAUAUUUAUUGUACUUGUAAUGAGUAAUACUUAGUCUAUUAUAUAAACAUAAAUGGAACCAUACCAUAGCAUAAAGUCUGUUUAUUUUUCAUAAAAUGUUUGAGUUUGUUACUCAAUUCCACUCCUCUGAUUAGUAGUCAAAAUCAAGUGUUCUGUUUUAAAAAGUUUAUAUUCUCUCAAUUUUGGAAUGUCAUAGCAUUGGGCCAGUGUCAAUGGCCCAAAAAA
This 1012-nucleotide long non-coding RNA is filed under the name Homo sapiens (human). RNAcentral describes it as "HSALNT0087024". Lineage: Eukaryota; Metazoa; Chordata; Mammalia; Primates; Hominidae. The record is from RNAcentral.